This is a long non-coding RNA of Salarias fasciatus (jewelled blenny), 218 nucleotides long. RefSeq lists it as uncharacterized. The record is from RefSeq and is a predicted model, not a curated record. Lineage: Eukaryota; Metazoa; Chordata; Actinopteri; Blenniiformes; Blenniidae. The transcript has 3 exons.
GACACAAUCAGCCCCAGGCGAUCCAGCUUCCCUCCAUAACCUUUUGACAUUGCUGCUGGGAAGGUAAAUGAGAGAAGAAGUUAGACACAGAGAGGGGGGGGGGGGGGGAAGAAGCGAAAAGACCGAAAGACUCGAUUAUGAAGAGUGCCAGGAAGUGGCAAGACCAGAAAACAACAUCACAAAGCGCCGACCCUUUAAUGUGUUUUAAAAAGAGGGAA